RNAcentral lists this ribosomal RNA (379 nucleotides) under uncultured bacterium. Its description in RNAcentral is "bacterial SSU rRNA". It matches the Rfam family "Bacterial small subunit ribosomal RNA", at positions 30 to 410 of the family's 1533-position model. The record is from RNAcentral.
AUUGAACGCUGGCGGCAUGCCUUACACAUGCAAGUCGAACGGCAGCACGGGAGCAAUCCUGGUGGCGAGUGGCGAACGGGUGAGUAAUAUAUCGGAACGUGCCCGGUCGUGGGGAUAACGUAGCGAAAGCUACGCUAAUACCGCAUACGAUCUACGGAUGAAAGCGGGGGAUCGCAAGGCCUCGCGCGAUUGGAGCGGCCGAUAUCAGAUUAGGUAGUUGGUGAGGUAAAGGCUCACCAAGCCGACGAUCUGUAGCUGGUCUGAGAGGACGACCAGCCACACUGGGACUGAGACACGGCCCAGACUCCUACGGGAGGCAGCAGUGGGGAAUUUUGGACAAUGGGCGCAAGCCUGAUCCAGCAAUGCCGCGUGCAGGAUG